Molecule: ribosomal RNA, 120 nt
Filed under: Salmonella bongori N268-08
Lineage: Bacteria; Pseudomonadati; Pseudomonadota; Gammaproteobacteria; Enterobacterales; Enterobacteriaceae
Source: RNAcentral
UGCCUGGCGGCACUAGCGCGGUGGUCCCACCUGACCCCAUGCCGAACUCAGAAGUGAAACGCCGUAGCGCCGAUGGUAGUGUGGGGUCUCCCCAUGCGAGAGUAGGGAACUGCCAGGCAC